GUCUAAGGCCAUAGCACCCUGAGCAGCCCUAUCUCAUCUGAUCUCGGAAGCUAAGCAGGGUCGGGCCUGGUUAGUACUUGGGUGGGAGACCGUCUGGGCAUACCGGUGCUGUAGGCU
RNAcentral lists this ribosomal RNA (117 nucleotides) under Bos grunniens (domestic yak). The record is from RNAcentral. Lineage: Eukaryota; Metazoa; Chordata; Mammalia; Artiodactyla; Bovidae.